GAUGAACGCUGGCGGCGUGCCUAAUACAUGCAAGUCGAACGCAUUGUGGUUGAAAUGAUAUGAAGAACUUGUUCAGAUUUGAUUUUCAACAUUGCAAUGAGUGGCGAACGGGUGAGUAACACGUGGGAAACCUACCUCUUAGCAGGGGAUAACAUUUGGAAACAAAUGCUAAUACCGUAUAAUAAUUAAAACCGCAUGGUUUUAGUUUAAAAGAUGGUCUUGCUAUCACUAAGAGAUGGUCCCGCGGUGUAUUAGUUAGUUGGUGAGGUAAUGGCUCACCAAGACAAUGAUACAUAGCCGAGUUGAGAGACUGACCGGCCACAAUGGGACUGAGACACGGCCCAUACUCCUACGGGAGGCAGCAGUAGGGAAUCUUCCACAAUGGACGAAAGUACUGAUGGAGCAACGCCGCGUGUGUGAUGAAGGGUUUCGGCUCGUAAAACACUAGUUGUAAGAGAAGAAUGACAUUGAGAGUAACUGUUCAAUAGUGUGACGGUA
RNAcentral lists this ribosomal RNA (498 nucleotides) under uncultured bacterium. RNAcentral's name for it is "bacterial SSU rRNA". It matches the Rfam family "Bacterial small subunit ribosomal RNA", at positions 28 to 477 of the family's 1533-position model. The record is from RNAcentral.